Hippocampus zosterae (dwarf seahorse) is the source of this 289-nucleotide long non-coding RNA. RefSeq lists it as uncharacterized. Lineage: Eukaryota; Metazoa; Chordata; Actinopteri; Syngnathiformes; Syngnathidae. The transcript has 2 exons. The record is from RefSeq and is a predicted model, not a curated record.
AUCAUGACUACUUUUUUGACUUUUUUUUUCUCCCCCAGAUGAUCGGCUUCCUGCUCUCGAAAAACCCAACACAGUCUAUCUCUCUGGUCAACACACUUGUCCCACGUUCUUCUCAAGAGCUGACCACUUCGCCGCCCAGCAACAAGCAGAGUGCCAUCCAACUUGCAACCUUUUUUUGUCUUCUCUGCAAACGAAAUAAAGCUUGAUCACAAAGAACACUUCAACUCAACUUCAUUUUUAAACACAUCACCAGUAUCUAACUUAAAGACAAUAAAUACAUUUCAACAAA